This 253-nucleotide ribosomal RNA is filed under the name uncultured bacterium. Its description in RNAcentral is "partial 16S ribosomal RNA". It matches the Rfam family "Bacterial small subunit ribosomal RNA", at positions 524 to 776 of the family's 1533-position model. The record is from RNAcentral.
UAUGUAGGGGGCUAGCGUUGUCCGGAAUCAUUGGGCGUAAAGAGCGUGUAGGCGGCCCGGUAAGUCCGCUGUGAAAGUCCAGGGCUCAACCCUGGGAUGCCGGUGGAUACUGUCGAGCUCGAGUCCGGAAGAGGCGAGUGGAAUUCCUGGUGUAGCGGUGAAAUGCGCAGAUAUCAGGAGGAACACCAAUGGCGAAGGCAGCUCGCUGGGACGUGACUGACGCUGAGACGCGAAAGCGUGGGGAGCAAACAGG